This 771-nucleotide ribosomal RNA is filed under the name uncultured bacterium. RNAcentral describes it as "bacterial SSU rRNA". It matches the Rfam family "Bacterial small subunit ribosomal RNA", at positions 28 to 812 of the family's 1533-position model. The record is from RNAcentral.
GAUGAACGCUGGCGGCGCGCCUAACACAUGCAAGUCGAACGGUUAAGCCACCUUCGGGUGGGAAUAAAGUGGCGAACGGCUGAGUAACACGUGGGCAACCUGCCCCUCGCACCGGGACAGCCUCGGGAAACCGUGGAUGAUACCGGAUACUCCGCCUCCCCCGCAUGGGGAGGGCGGGAAAGCCCAGACGGCGAGGGAUGGGCCUGCGGCCUGUUAGCUAGUUGGCGGGGCAGCGGCCCACCAAGGCGAUGAUGGGUAGCCGGGUUGAGAGACCGACCGGCCAGAUUGGGACUGAGACACGGCCCAGACUCCUACGGGAGGCAGCAGUGGGGAAUCUUGCACAAUGGGCGGAAGCCUGAUGCAGCGACGCCGCGUGCGGGACGAAGGCCUUCGGGCUGUAAACCGCUUUCAGCAGGGACGAGGCGAAAGUGACGGUACCUGCAGAAGAAGCCCCGGCUAACUACGUGCCAGCAGCCGCGGUAAUACGUAGGGGGCAAGCGUUAUCCGGAUUCAUUGGGCGUAAAGCGCGCGUAGGCGGCCAGCCUGGUCGGGAGUCAAAUCCGGGGGCUCAACCCCCGUCCGCUCCCGAUACCGGCCGGCUUGAGUCUGGCAGGGGAAGGCGGAAUUCCCGGUGUAGCGGUGGAAUGCGCAGAUAUCGGGAAGAACACCGGUGGCGAAGGCGGCCUUCUGGGCCACGACUGACGCUGAGGCGCGAAAGCUAGGGGAGCGAACAGGAUUAGAUACCCUGGUAGUCCUAGCCGUAAACGAUGG